KUUUAGUCUAUUUAGAGGAAUCUGUCCUGUAAUUGAUAUUCCACAAUUUUAAGUACUUAUUUUUUAAGUUUAUAUAUCGCCGUAGGUGAUUAUUUUAAUAGAAUAAUAAUAUUCGGUAUUUAAAAUAAAAAUAGAAAUCAGGUCAAGGUAUAGCUUAUAAAUAAGAAGAGAUGGAUUACAAUAAAAUUAUUUAAAUGGAAUUAAGUAUGAAAAAAUUAAUGAAGGUGGAUUUGAAAGUAAUUUUUAUACAAAUUUAAGAAAUGAUUUUAGCUCUAAAAUAUGCACAUAUCGCCCGUCGCUUUCAUUAUAAAGUGAAAUAAGUCGUAACAAAGUAGAUGUACUGGAAAGUGUGUCUAGAAAGACAAAUUAGAGCUUGGUAAAAGUAUUUUAUUUACAUUAAAAGGUUUAUUGUGAAAUUCAAUAUAAUUUGAAUUUUAAUAAUUAUUUUUUUUUUAAUUUAAAUUUAAUUAUUAUGAAUAAAUGGUUGUGUUAUUAUUAAAGAA
This 503-nucleotide ribosomal RNA is filed under the name Hormocerus fossulatus. RNAcentral describes it as "partial 16S ribosomal RNA". The record is from RNAcentral. Lineage: Eukaryota; Metazoa; Arthropoda; Insecta; Coleoptera; Brentidae.